UCCGCUUAAAGAGGAGCCUGCGGCAGAUUAGCUAGUUGGUAAGGUAACGGCUUACCAAGGCUACGAUCUGUAACCGACCUGAGAGGGUGGUCGGUCACACUGACACUGAAUAACGGGUCAGACUCCUACGGGAGGCAGCAGUCGGGAAUUUUGGGCAAUGGGCGAAAGCCUGACCCAGCAACGCCGCGUGAAGGAUGAAGUCUUUCGGGAUGUAAACUUCGUAAGAAUGGGAAGAAUAAAUGACGGUACCAUUUGUAAGGUCCGGCUAACUACGUGCCAGCAGCCGCGGUAAUACGUAGGGA
RNAcentral lists this ribosomal RNA (302 nucleotides) under Ditylum brightwellii. RNAcentral describes it as "partial Bacterial small subunit ribosomal RNA". It matches the Rfam family "Bacterial small subunit ribosomal RNA", at positions 214 to 533 of the family's 1533-position model. Lineage: Eukaryota; Bacillariophyta; Thalassiosirophyceae; Lithodesmiales; Lithodesmiaceae. The record is from RNAcentral.